Molecule: long non-coding RNA, 8152 nt
Organism: Bombus huntii
Lineage: Eukaryota; Metazoa; Arthropoda; Insecta; Hymenoptera; Apidae
Exons: 2
Source: RefSeq, a predicted model, not a curated record
AAAGAAUCAAGACAAUGGAAUACGCGCCGUUGAUACUUUUACAAAAUUGCUAACCGUGAAACGAUGUUUUGUCCCGAAACGUAGCAAUUUCUCAAUGAAAAUUAUGAAAUCGACGUAUAAAAUUGGCUGUAUUUCUAUUCUUGCGCGUCUCAUUUUUAACUCCGUUGAUCUAUUUUUAAACGAUCGGUCGUUAUUGUUGUUAAAUGAUUUCAUAAAGCGUCGUCGAGUAUUCGUGCACAGGCAAUUAACAAUUGUCCGUAAUUGUUUUUCUUCGCGAUUCUAUUCGUUAAUGGCGCGUCGAAACAAAAGCCAGCGAAGGAGAAAGCAAUUUAUGAUAGAAAAUCGGAUUGCGCUUGAGGGAACCGUACGAACGAGAAAAAUCUUUUUGAAGUGACAAACUAACGACAAAAGAAAAGUAACUGACUAUAUUCGAAUCGAUGUUUCUUAGAAGCGGAUAUUGGCAGCUUAUUUAACUAACAGAUGAAUCAUUCGUAAUGACGUUCAUACUUCUCUCUGAAUUUCGAUUUAUAUCUUCUGCGUAAUAAAAUUGUAUUUUGCACGUAAAAUCAAAAAACAAGAAGAUAACUGAAUUCACGGGAAUCUCAUUGAAACAGACGUCUAAAGGAUAUGUAUAUAAGGAAAUGAAUAUUUCACGAGCAUUUUAGGGCUCUCUUUGAAAUUGAUUCAUCUAUUUGUUAAUAAAAGCAAUUUUUCCUCGUACAAGAGUUCAAUAGUCGAUGUUUCUAUGAAGUCAAUAACAAACUCUUAAAUCGUUAGUUCUCGAUUAUAAUCCGGGUGUCCCGUUGUUAGUCGAUGCACGUGACGCUACGUGCUAGUCGAUGCUGUAAAUGGAUCGUCCAUUAAUAUCACGUACAAUGUAUUCCGAACGAAAGGGAAUCUUUGAUUGGAUGCCCGUGAGAAGUAUCUGGGUGAUAAUGAGCGCGGAUGCGUCAGGAACGCGAGCGAUCUAUGUCGGAUUUCAGGGUCACCACGAGACGAAGACCAUACAACUCUUCGAGGAGUCCACUGGUAAAUUAUUUCGGUUGGUCGCUAAUUUUGUCGCGGUAUGCCAUACCGCGCAGAGAGCGCGGUGGUUAACCAUUGCUACGUAGAGCGAAACAGUUUACUCGUUGUCUGCGUCCUUCCACGCUUAUCUCCCCGUUCUUUGCAUUCUUCUCCCGCACCCUCCUUUUCUAUUUCUUUGUCUAGGUUUUUUCCAGGAUAUUUGCUGGACGAUUGACUCCCUGUUUUCGCUUGUUAAAGUCAGCUAAUCAGUCAACAUUCUCCUCUAGGUUGAGAAAAGCAACCUUAUAGUUUCGAUGAGAGACGCGAAUUGCCCUGGAAAUGUGGAGAUUUCUACAAGAAAUGUAUGCGAUGUAUCGCACAACAGGUUAUCAAAGACGUAUUAACUUUCUAAUGGAAAUAACGUGAGCCCGAAAUAAAUUUGAUCCAGGCAUAGCGAAUUAGUCAAUAAAGGAGUUAAUUACGUGACGAGGUAGAAAAUAAAUAACGCGGUGACUACCCAAACUGUACCUAAAGCACGCUGUGAAAUCGUGAGAAGUUAAUAAACGCAAGUGCGUCAGCGAUAGCAAUCGUCGAACAUAUCUGUAUGUGUGUGUCAAAUCAGGAACGAAAGGAGAAGAAAUUGUAAGGUCUUCGAUAAAGAUGAAAAUGAACUGUCUCUGAGAUAAAGAUAUUUUGCUAUUAAAGGAAGAUAAUCAUUUUGAUCGUCGUUGACUAUAUACCUACCGUGGAAUAUAUUUACAUAUUCCGUUUUUGCUCUAUGAUUUAAUUACGUGCAAGAAAAGUCCGAAUAAUCUGAUAACGAAAAGACUUUACUUUGAAACGUGUCAACGUCAUUUUCCGUCAAGGUUAGUGUUAGUACAUUGCCGAAUUGUUUUAUAGAAAACACAUUUGUUUCUGUGUAGAGAUCAAUCGCAAACGUCGUAGAGACGCGCAUCUAUCGAUUUAUUUAGAACGAAAAUUUUUUAUUUCUACGAUAAAAGCUCUCGCGUAUUAGACAAACGAAAAGGGAUUAAGACCUUGGUUACCAGACCUUGGAUUCAGAACCUGAGUUAACGCAUCAGACAUUUGAUAUCGAGGUUAAAUGUUCCUCUUCGGUAGAAAAAAGAAGAAAAAACGAACAGUUUGUUUCUCUUAGCAAAAAUUGCGAGGGCGUCGAGAUUCCAUGCAUACUGAUUCAAGUUAAUAAAUUCAAAUUUUUUCAUCCGGAAUUCCGUGCGUUCGUCUAUUCUAAUCACUCAAAUUCGUUUUCUCUCGAAUUAAAUAUUUCCUGGGCAAGUUUGACCAAAAAUCGCAACUAUGUUAUAGUUAUGUAGCUUCAAUCGUAACGCAAGUGGAAUUUUUGUGUUGUCGCGAAUCAAAUUUCGACUUUUCUUUUUAUUUCGAUCAUCGGAGAAAACGAAUGCAAGGAAAGUAUUUACAGCGUUUAUCGAGGCGCCAGUGAUUCAAGAUCGUCUAAAUAUUUCGAUGCGCAGAUCACGAUUAAGCUUACAUCAUAAAUAUUUUUCAACAAGAAUAAGUUAUAUAUGAAAAUCUUUUCCGGCAGAUUGGAACGUCCGGUCAUGCCGCGACGUACGCUGAAAGUCUAUAAGCUGCUGAAGAGUAUUUUUGUCCGUGGAUAUUAUCGAUUGCAUAUACCCCUGAUUCGUCCUCCCUUUCUCUUGCACAUCGAACGUAUAAUUUGAACAUAUAGAUUCUUCUCCUUAUUUUAUUUUCCGUCUAUGUACGAGUUCUCCUAUUCCAAUGCUGAUAGACGUUUUAUGCGUAUCGUUUUAAGUUUACAAACAUAGAUCGCGUUCUGUUUCAACUUUACACAGACUGACAUAACAUGACGUAAACAAAAGAGAGAACCCUCGCAGGAGAAAUUAUGUUUUUUCACAAGUCUUAACACCUCUGUACAUAUUUUGUUCUUAAUGGCUUUAACAGAGAGCUACUUUUUAGAUUUGCUUCUAGAAAGAAAUUAUCGAUUCUAUGUACAUGCGGGAUUGCGAGACGAGAAUCAAGAUAUUUUCAAGCGGAUCUAAAUCGAUUUCGGUAUAAUUCACAGAUCAAAUCGUAUUAGAGAGGAAGAGUUUGACACGGUGGAACACGAGGUCGGUUCACAGUUUGUAAAUUCAACGAUGAGUGACGUGUCUCAAUUGUGAUUCACUGCAAUGCGUCACAGUGAAUAGAGAAUCUUAUUCUUGGUUCAUCGUGGCUUAUUGUUCGCAGUCACCUACUUUCAUUUGCCCAAUUGUAUCGUUUGCUUCGCGCAACACUCUAUGAACUAUGUGUCUGUAUGUAUUUUAAAGCAGGAAAUUUCACUCGGUUCCCGCAGCGUUCGAGAAAACAUUUAUUUUUCAACUACGACACGUUCGCAUUCCUAAAAGCCUUUCUCAUCUUCCUAGCAUAUCUAAUAAACAGAUGGAUUUUUUUAAAAAAACUACGCUAUCAUCGAUUUGAUGGAAAGUUCCUGCUCGUGAUUGGCGGAAUUUUACCAGUUUACUCCUAUUUGACCGUAUCACGUACUAUAAAUAGGUUUAAAUAAUCACGUGAGGCUUGCAUACUGACGUAAACGUAUGUAGUAUUGUAUAGAGUAUCCAUUUCCUAAUAUUAAACUGAUUUUAAGCGUAAUCGAGUUUAUCGACGAUAACUCGAUGUAACCAAAUAACUGGAAUUACUUGAUCGUUGCAUGUAUAUAUAUAAGGGGGCAGAAGAUAUAGAAGAGAGUGAUAAAGUUAUCUCGAAUUUACGUCUUCUCUGGUUUGAUCUAGGCUUUUUUACGCGAGAGCCUUUUAAACCUCUCGGUUUUAAACGCUGGUGUGAAAAUUCAAUGGCGCUCGUUGUUUUGGCCUUCCUCUCAGAGAAAUUGUAAAUUUCGUAAAUCGUCCACUUCGUUUAACAAGCUACUCCGAAAUAAAAGCUAAAAACACUCCGAUUCUUUUUUUCCUUGUGUUUUCACCAGAUUUACGAGAAGUUACGAAUACGCGGCUCUCGCCGAUCGAACGAGUACCCGUAAAAAUAUCCUUUCGGAAGACACAAUAAAACAUGAAAUAAAAAUAUUUAUCGCUGUUGAUUACGGUAGAGUAUAGCUUUUGUCAUUUGUUUAUUCUUUACCUUUCACUUUUACGAUUGGCCUUUAUGUGACUCGGUGCUUACGCCACUGAUUUCGCGCUAAAGAAUCGGUAAAAUAACGUAGACUUGUAAGAGGAAGGUUGGAGUAGUACGAAGUGAGAUUACAUGGACGAGAGAGGAUGAGAGACCCAACUUCAACACCAAAAUGGCGGAGACCUGGAGGGUUGAAUGUGGCACGUGUUUGACAGCCUAGCCCAGUGGCGUAACAAUAAAUUUAUACCUUUUCGAGCGUUUGCUAAUAACUAUCUCAUAACUCUGAUUCGUGGCAUGCAGAUCAAUCGAUUUACGAUGUUACGAAAUAAAAUGGUUAAAAGUAGAUAGCUGCUCGUACGUAUGUAGUUUCUUAUUCGAUCGACCAACUUGGUUCACGCUGCCAAAAAGGAAAAAGAAUAGGACAUCGGAGCUUAAAGUGAAUGUCAUUUUAUCGAUUGAUGAUCGAGUUAAACGGCCCCUCGUUCGUUCUAAAUAAAAUGUCAAUAAAUAAAAAGUAAGAAUACAAUCGCAAUGGGAUUCGGGUGUAAUACGGAUAUGUUUCUCUUUUAUUUGUUAAAUAUAUUUGGACUAGGAGAGCGAAAAAUACUAACAAAUAAUCAUUAGGAUGUCGAUAACAUUUUUUUAAUCAUUACGAACUAAACAUUCUAUUUCGACAUUCAGGAUUAUCGGAAAAAUUCUUAUUGCUGUUUUCUGAAUUCUACGCCUCUGAAGCCCGACCACCCCCGCGUACCACCCCAAGUACACCCCUAAUGACGUCAUAGGACAGUGGCGCCAACAACUCUGUACUGACGUCAGUCCUGAACAUUGGGCAACUAAGUUUCCUUCGCGCUAUGAAUUCCACAUUUUCCCCUUUCGUUUCGUACGAAAGGAGAAAGCAACAAACAAUACUUUCACGAUAUUGCGUCCCUUUCCCAUUAUCAGUUGAUCUUUCGUGGCCUUUUUAUUUCAUUUAUUAGCGAACGAAGCAUCGCGCGCGCUUAGAAUAGAGUAGAGUUUUACAUAUAUCGUGCUAUUAUCGAGUCGGCGUAAAGCAGUACCUCUGUCAUCGAUUCAUCAUGACGACAGCAAUGACGAUCUCACUCGUCGCUAGUUAUACGAGUUAUAGUUGUAAUUAUUUUACGUCAAACCAAUUGGUUGGUUCAAUUUAUUUUUCAAUUUAAACUGUGACGUUACAUAUCGGUAGCAGAACCAGUAAUCUUCUAAUCUUUCGCAUCUUUUUAUAAUCGCGAUGAACCAUCCAUACAAUAAUCGAUACGUGUUGUUCCUUACUUUUUUCACCAUCUUUUCCAUUUUUUUUUUUCUUUUUCUUUUUUGCCGAUUUUCCGCUUCGUGAAAUUCGGAGAUUCUUGAAUCGUCGAAGAGAAGGAGCUGUUGUACUCGUAUAUUUCACAAGAGAGCACGGUUCCAUCGGUGAAUCGACUUUUCUAAGGUCCCGUUUGUGCUUACGUUCGCGCCGCACUAUUCACACAAUUCAUUGUCAAUGUCGUACACACAGAACGGGGUGAUACUACGAAGAUGGCUGUUUAAAAUCUUUCAGUUUUACGGAUAUAACUCGCUUUAGAAAUAUUAGUAUUGCAUAUAUCAUUUAUCAUGCGAGACGACGUAAAUGCGCUGUUUAUAAAGACUUCCAUAAAUAUCGCUUGAAUGUUUAUUACGAUUGACGUUUGCGUGAUGGAGGAAGAAGAACAAAGAUGUACAUAUUUAGUGGUGAAACGAUCGAAAUUCCUAAAUAUUUGAACGAGUAAGGGAAAAUCAAGAUAUCCAAUAUUCCGAGAAAAUUUAUUAAAAGAUCUUGACGUUUGCCAUUGACGUCCCUUAAUUGAAAAAUAAUGCGUUCAACCGCAACGUUUUCAAUGUGUAACUCCAAAUUUAUGUAUAUAUAUACAUAUAUAUGUAUAUCCAUACAUGCAUAUUUGUGCUUACGUUGCAUCCUGCUUUCUCGACGACGAUUCAUUGCCGACGACGAUUCAGUGAUAUGUAUACACAUCGUUCUCUGCGAAUGGACGGACGAACGAACGCGAAUCCCUCUUUUUAUUGUCGCGACGAUGACGUCAAUUCUCUCUAAUCUCAGCGCUCAUUUCUGAAAAUUAUGAUAGUACCGGUAGGCCAACGUACCGUCGACGGACGUUUAGGACGAUCAUCGGUUUCCUGAUUACGACCCUCCUGCCUUGUACAAACGAUUUUACCUUGUCGGUUACGGUUUUUCGUUUUGAAAAUCAACCAAUCGAUACAAUUAAUCGUAUGGCAUUUGAUUCAACGUCAUUCGUCAUUUAUAUCUUAGUUAGAACGUUAUGAACAUUUUUUCUUUUAAUUAAAUACCAUUUUUCCUUGACGUUUGACGUUUCACGUGAUUCUAAAGUAGCGUAUAAAUAUGAUAACGUUCGAUGAUCGUAUCUUGUGUUCCGCCCUUUGGCUAGCGUUAAUUCUGAAGAAAUUAUGAUCCGUUAUCGAUGCUCACAAUGUACCAGUAAAAUUUAUGUAUGUAUGUAUGUGUUUUUUAACAUAGAUUUGCCCGGUCUUUGUACUAGAAACGAUAUUAUGUAAUAUUAACGAAAGUCGAGAUAUACGCGAUUGUUCUUCCUAUGAAAGCGACCUUAUAAUUGUGGCAUAUAUUUUUUUAACAUCGAUUAAAAGAAUAAUAAUAUUGAAGAUGAAGUUUAGGUAAAGAUAAGGAUAGGAAGGCACAAACUAGUAUUAUAAACGUUUGCAUUUGGACUCGGAGUUAGAAAAGAAAAGGUUCGGAGCUCUAUUAUAAAGUAACGCUGCAAGGGUGCGGACCAGGACUAGCAUACUUGUACCUAUACUUAAAUAUAUUUCUAUUAUACAUUUAUCCACUGGUUCCUCUCUAUUCUAUUCCGAGAUAAACUUCAAUAGCUAUAAAACGGUUUAACGAAUCGUUUCGUUCUACCAUGUUUUCAUUUUCUCUAUUUUACGCAAUCAGGAUUUAUCGUAAAAAUAACUUUGCGAUGUUCAUGUUCGACGUAGGACUUGAAAUUACAAAAAAAAAAAUCGGUUUUGAAAUUUCCACAGUCUUAUAGAUGUAGAUGUACCUAGAAAUGGACAAAUGUGAAUAAAGGAAAAUGUGAAGGUGAUAAUAAUAUAUCCUUCUCGAAUACUCAUUUGUUAAUUUUUAUUGUUAUAGAGGUGUAAUCGAAAUAAAUAUUACGUGAAUAUACAGAGCGUGCUAGAAAUACGAAAAGCACUGUGCGAAUAAAGUGUAGGAACAUCAUGACAAUUGAUAGAUAUAUAUAUGUUGUUCGCCACGUAUUUCUGGUUUUCUUCGUAAAAAAACACGCUAAAAAGGCUACCAUUCAAAACACUGCGGUAAUAUUUUGCAUAAUUAUUUAAUUAUUUAAUUUUGCAUAGUUAUUAUAAAAUUCUGUCGACUUUCCAUUUCCAGCAUAACCGAUAUGAAAUUAAUAAUUUCUUACAUACUGGUUUUCAUUCGCAAUUGUAGUAUACAUUAUUUAUACGUUACGUAAGACCUAGGAAAGCAUUCUCUGAUAUCGAUUAAGUGAAACGUUAGAAUAAGCGUAUACAGGAAGAUAAAUUACAGGAAAUAAAUACGACGAUAUUAUACAAUAGUCUCUAUACUCUAUAUAAUUGGAACAUUCACUAAGCAAUUUCUUCGCCUGAGAAAUAAAUAAUCAUUUCCUUUCUCCUUUUCUUUUUCGUUUCCUCGUUCCUUUGUUUUUCCUUUUUCUUUCUCGUAUCUCUGCCGCUCUAUUUGCAUAUCUGUAUUUGUGAUCUAUACAAUUAGAUUUACGUGUAAGAAUAUAAUAUAAAAUCGUUUGAUGAUGGACGUAAUGUUAAAUAAAUAUAGUAAUGUAAAGUUCAUUGAGAGGAUCAUUUUCAUACGAUAUUUAAAAUAUAUAAAGUCGUUGCUAUAGACAAACCAACAAAAAUCAAUGUUCAUUCUCGAUUCGGUGGUUCUGUCUCGACAGCAAUGAACCAUACGUGCGCAUUAACAAUAGAUGCAGAUAGUUUGAAGCUGAUAAAGGAGAAAAAAAGACUUAAAACG